AACUUAUAUGUUAUUUAUUUUUUUUUUCAAAGAACUUUAUUUAAAUGAAAUUAGUAUACAUCAAAACAACAUAAUGAAGUAUACAACACAAUACAACAGCCAAGCAGCACAGCCAGGGGUGAUUAGAUAAGAACCUGCAGACGAACAUAUUGAGAUUGUCCUUUGAGCCUUUUCAUUUGUAGAGUCUGUUAUUGAUUUGAUAUAUAGACCCAUAUCUUUAAUGAAAAAAGAGAAACAAGGUGUUUUAUUAGCAAAUUAGCAUUUAUGAAUAUAAAAUUUAGCAAAGAGUAUUAGUAAGUUUAUUACAAAGAAAUGAUUGGCAUAAUAUCUAUGAAAUCUAUAGAAACAAAAUAAAACAUUUUCCCAGCAUAAGGAAAAAUUCUUUAAAAUAUGGUCAUUAAUAAACCUGCUAAAUUCUGACCAAAACCUUUGUAUAAAAGGGCAGAGCCAAAAGAGAUGCGUCACAGUUUCUGGAUGACCCUCACAGAAACUGCAAUUAGUGUUUAUGUCGCUUUUAAAUUUUACCAUAUAGUGUUUAGCAGAGUAAAUUUUAUGGAGAAUUUUAAAUGACACUUCCUUCACCUUGUUUACAAUGAAAUAUUUAUGGGGGAUCAUCCAAACUGUUUUCCAGUGAAUAUCUGGGAUAUAACAGCUCCAGUAAAAUGUUAUAGCUGGACGAGAAACAAUAAGUUCUUGGAACAACCUGCCUAUUCUCUCAUUGCUUUUCCUAAACUCCAGUGAAAAACAGAUUUUUCCCACAGAUGAUUCGGCUGGAUCAGGGAUACCAGGUGGAACAGACAGAGUAUAAUUAGUGCUUUUAAACAACAUUAAGGUGCCCAAAGGUACAGCAUUAACCACCAUGGAGAAUUCCUGGAUACCAACUGGAAAAUUAUAUAUCGAGCAGAAUUCAUUGUAAUUGAUUAAUCGUCCUCCUUUAUUAAUCAGCUGAGCCACCAGUGAAAUUCCAUUUUGAACCCAAGUUUCAAGAUAGAGUGACCUAUUUUUAAACAAAAUAUCUCUGUUGUUCCACAUGAGGUAUUUGUGAGGUGAGAAGUUAUGUUUAUAUAUGAGCGUCCUCGCUAAGAGCACCUGCUUAUGGAAAGAUGAGAGUUUUACAGGAAGUUUCUCAACACUGUAAUUACAAUGUAAAAUGAAGUUGAAGCCACCAAAGCGCGAGAAAAUGUGUUCCGGUAUAAGGUAGAUAGAGGCUGGAUUCUUAAGGAAGUGUUUAGCCCAUUUAGUUUUAAAUGUGUUAUUUGGGUAGAGAAAUCCAGAAAGUUAAGUCCACCUGAUUCAUAAUUAUUCAUAAUAACAGUUUUUUUGAUAUAGUGAGUACGAUUUUUCCAUAUAACAUUAAGCAGCAUACGAUCAAUGUCUCUACAGAUUUUGUUGUCUAAAUGUAAGGGGAGAGCAGCAUAAGUCAGUCGGGAUAAUCCUUCAGCUUUAGUAAUCAAUACUCUUCCUCUUAGAGAUAAAUCCCUCUGAAGCCACUGGUUCAGUUUAUUUUUGGUUUUCUGUAUAAUUGGUAUUAAAUUAGAGGAGCAUCUUAACUUCUGGUCUUUAGAGAUUAAGAUUCCUAAAUAAGAAACUUCUUGUUUAACAGGAAUAUUGCAAAUAUCAUUAGCAUGACAAUCCUUAAUCGGUAGCAAUUCACAUUUUUUUAAAUGUAAAAAUAAGCCGGAGGCCUUGGAAAAAGUAUUAAUCACCUCUAAGGCCAGAGGGAUCUGGUUUGCAUUCCUUAAAAAUAGUGUGGUGUCAUCAGCCAGCUGGCUGAUUAUGAGCUCUUUAUUAGCUGUGCUGAUUCCUUGUACGGCACUAUUGGAGAUAUGAGUUGUAAGGAUUUGAGAGCAAAGUAAGAAUAAAUAUGGUGAAACGGGAAUCCUUGACGAAUGCCACGUUUAAGGUCAAAUCUAGGGGUGGAGCCGUUUGCCAAUUUAAUCGCACUAUUGCAAUUGGAGUAUAAUGUUUUGACUGUGUUACAAAAAACGGCCAAAACCAAAUUUUUUUAAAGAUUGAAAAAUGAAUUGAUGUUCAAUUGUGUCAAAGGCCUUAUAGAAAUCCAGGAAAAGAAUAAAACUUUCAUCAGGCACCAAAUAUGAAUAAUCAAGUAAGUCUAGAACUAGUCUAAUGUUGUUAGUGUUUGUUCCUCAUAAAGCCUGAUUGUGUCUCAUCAAUAACUGUGUCCAAAACCUCUUUAACUCUGUAAGCAAGUAUUGAAGCCAUAAUUUUAUAAUCAUUAUUGAGUAGACUUAUAGGUCUCCAAUUAUCAAAGAGUGGGUCUUUGUUUGGUUUUGGAAUGUUAUUAGGCCUUGAGUCAGAGUGUUGUUCUCUAUACUUUCUAGAAAUACCUGUAAGAGAAAUGGAGCUAUAUGAUUAGAGAAUGAUUGAUAAAACUCAGCAGAUAAACCAUCUGUGCCGGGGGAUUUAUUGGCCUUCAGUGCAUUGAUGCACUUAGAAAUUUCCUCCACGGUAAAUGGGCUGUCACAGUAGUUUCUAUCUUCUACAUCAAUAGUUUGUAAAUUUUUAAUAUUGUUAAGAAAUGAUACUGAAAUCUCUUUAUUAUAUUUUGAGCUGUAUAAAUUAGAGCAAAAUUUGGCACAAAAAGAUGCAAUUUCUUUAGGAUUGUUUGAGAUAAUGUCAUUGAUAUUUAGUUUAUUUUUGAUCUGUAUUUUUCAAGCCUAAAAAAGUGAGCAGAAUUUUGUUCUCCUUCUUCCAGCCAUCGUUUCCUGGAUCUGACGAAGGCGCCUUCAGCCUUGUGUUUGUACAAGGCAUCCAGUUUGUUCUGAUUUUCUAUUAAAUUUAAUUUAUCUUCCUCUGAAACUUCUUCUGGGCAUUUUAGGUAAUAGGAGGUGAUCUUGCUUAUGACUUCUUCCUCUUCAGCUUUCUUUAAUUUAGAAAUCUGACUUCCAUAAUGUCUUAAAAAUUUGCCAAUUUCAAAUUUGAAAAGUUCCCAAUUGUUGCAGAAAGACCAUUCCUUUUACCCUUAUUCCAAUAAUAUAUCAUUAAUUUAUUAAUAUGAGCUUUAACUAUUUAAUGCUUCAGCAUUAAAUAGUUUCCAGUAAGCACAUUUGUAAGAUGUAUUAUCAGGAGUAUAAAUUUGGAUGCUAAUGCGAAUAGCUCUAUGAUCAGUAAGAGGGGUGGCAAGUAUGUUAACAGCAAUGUUGUGUUUAUUAAUACAUUUGGAAAUAAGCCAAAAAUCUACCCAGGAUUGUCUGGAACCUAUUUUAUUGCUCCAUGUAAAGAUUUUGUCAUCUGGGAAUUUUUCUCUCCAUAUAUCUACAACAUUAAAUUUCUCCAUAAAAUGUUUUAAAUUAGCACUGAUGAGGUCUGCUGAGGAGGAGGCCAUCUGUCGAUCGUAUUGUCUAAGGUAAUGUUAAAGUCCCCACCAAUUAAAAUGAUUAUUUGGAAAGCCAAAAAGCAAUUCUGUCUUCUAAUGAUUCGAAUAGUUUGUUGUUUUCUGUUAUAUUAUUAUAACCGUAUAUAUUAACUACAAUAAAGGUAUUGUUAAGGCAUUCGAUUACUGAGCAGAUGUAGUGACCUAGAGCGUCGCAAUCAGUAUGUAAUAUAGAUGCAGAAAAAUUAUUUUUAAGUGUGGCGACACCAGCGGAGCGCUCAGAUCCACAUUUCAUUUCCCCACUGGGAUUUCCAGAAAUUACCGUCAGAAGAUGUAGAACGACUCUCUUGAAAAAAACAAAAAUCUGUUUUAAAUUGUUUGGCAAAUAAGAAUAAUGCUUUGCGUUUGCCUGUUUGUCUCAACCCCCUGACAUUGAGAGAUACAAAUGAAACGGACAAAGUUAUUUAGAAAGAAUAACAAAGAAUAAAGAACAAGAUCUAAACUUUUAAAGAUAAAGUUGUGUUCACAAAGAAAGGGGACCGACAGCUGCACGCUUUAAGUAGUAAAGCGGUAAGAAGCCUGACUAAAUAAUUACAAUACAAGAGAAACAAAGGAAAUGUAGCACUUUGCUAUCUAUUUUGGUUUAACUAUAGUAUAUUAGGAUCUUGCAACAAGAACAAGGUAAGUCUUCAUAACUAAAUUAUAUAUUGACUAGAGGAGAAUAUAUAAUGUUUAAAAGGAACUAGAAGUGAAAGCAAAGUGUAGACCAAGCUCAGCGUGUAAAUGAAAAGGUGAAAUUAUCAUUUCUAAGGAUUCGUUGAGUAUGAAGGAGGGAAGACUUCUAAUCCGCUGAUAAAGCCACGACCUCCAACGAAGUAACCUGGUUUACCUUCCUUGUGGGCUCUGUCUAUCAAGGGCCAAAGUUUAUUGCGUCGUUCUCUGUCAUCCUUGUUCAGGUCCUCAGUGAAUCUCAGUUGGUUGUCCUUCAGGUACGAAGAUGUCUUGGCUGCUUUCCAUGAUGCAUCCCUGAGGACUCUGGAGGUGAACUGAAUGAUGAUCCCUCUAGGUUUGGUGCUACCUCUCCUUGUAGUUUGAGAUGCCACCUCCUGGAAUAUCUUUCCAACUCAGCAAGCCUCUGCUGGUUGUCAGAACGGGCGUUUAUCAGCGCAGACAGACUGGAUAUGAUCUCAUUUGUAGCAGAAGGCUCCGGGUUGCUGCGUUCAUACAUCACCUUCUUCGGUGCUGGCGAUUUCAGAGGAGUAACAGGUAGGGCAGGAAAGUCGGCAAUUUCCUCCUCAUUCAAUGUCAAAGUUAAGGGGGCAGCUGCGUAGUUGUGGCAGUUAUCAAAUAACGCGUUACCGGUUGUAGCGUUAGCCUCAUUAGCCUCGUUAGCCUCGUUAGCCGUCUCAGACGCAGGCCUGGACUUGGAUGUUUCUAGACCUCUUUUCGCUCCUUUCUGGUUCGGCAUUCUGUUAUAACUGCUAUGUAUGUUGUCUUGUAGAAAAUCAAUAGUGCUAUUGUUCAUAUAGUCAGGGCUUUACCGCGUUUUAUGAAUUUUUGUGCAGAUCUCGGUAUAGAGCGUCUCCUCACUCCGCCAUCUUGAGCCGAGCUCCGACGCCUCCAUAUUUAAUUAUAUAUGACGCUAUUCUGAAGGAGGCCAUAUUAUAGCUCAUCAGGGCCGUGAAAUCUUUACAACAAACCAAAAUUAAGCUUUUAUUUCACACAAUUUCAUCAAA
Molecule: long non-coding RNA, 5070 nt
Organism: Poecilia latipinna (sailfin molly)
Lineage: Eukaryota; Metazoa; Chordata; Actinopteri; Cyprinodontiformes; Poeciliidae
Exons: 3
Source: RefSeq, a predicted model, not a curated record